UGAGCAUGCAUAAAGAUGAGGAGCAAAAAUUUAUGGGGAGGUCCGAGGAUAUAGGAUGUCAGGUUGUUUUCAAAGAACUGAAAGUAUUCUACAAUAGUGCCAGCUGUAAUAUUCAGUAAUCUUUGUUUUCUAAACACAAGUUAUGACUUCUAGGUGAUUCUCAUCAUAUUACUCAACCAUAUAUUGAUGGGAGAGGUGCCAUUUUGGCCAUAGAAUGUGCCUUUAAACAAUCUGGUCUGCAACCUAACCAAGUGGACUAUGUGAAUGCUCAUGCUACGUCUACACCUUUGGGUGAUGCAAUUGAAGCAAAUGCAAUCAAUUCCAUAUUCACUGACCAUGCAACAUCUGGUACUUUGGCCUUCUCCUCAACAAAGGGUGCUAUCGGGCAUCUUCUUGGUGCAGCCGGAGCUGUUGAAGCAAUUUUUACCGUUUUAGCCAUACACCAUAUAAGUAUAUCAGUUUAGCUUCUCCUUGAUGAUUCAAUUGAAAGCACCUUUCAACUUAUUGGCGUGACGUAGCUUUUCAAAAAGCUUUUGAAAUGGUUAUAAUAGUAAUUCCCACUUGUAUGAACCAAUUUGUUAUCUCUGUCUAUGAGUAUAUCUGCCUGUAUUCAAUUAGUGGUUCAAAGUCGAUGAACUGUACGGAAGAUUCUGUUCGGUUCACUUAAGAAAGUUUGGAACUGUACUAAAUGAACAUUAUGGU
Molecule: long non-coding RNA, 702 nt
Organism: Hibiscus syriacus
Lineage: Eukaryota; Viridiplantae; Streptophyta; Magnoliopsida; Malvales; Malvaceae
Exons: 4
Source: RefSeq, a predicted model, not a curated record